Odontomachus brunneus is the source of this 6793-nucleotide long non-coding RNA. RefSeq lists it as uncharacterized. The record is from RefSeq and is a predicted model, not a curated record. The transcript has 2 exons. Lineage: Eukaryota; Metazoa; Arthropoda; Insecta; Hymenoptera; Formicidae.
CGUCGUCGUCGUCGUCGUCGUCGUCGUCGUCGUCGUCAUCGUCGUCAUCGUCACCGUCACCGUCACCCGUCUCCUUUCCCUAUCUGCCUCCGCCGAGCGUUCCGCGCGGAUUUCUCACGUCGUCGGGGCUUCGGCGCCCGGCGACGAAGGACGACGGGCACGGCAAGUGCAUCUCUCUCUCCUCUUUGCGGCGUACGGGACGCCCGACAUCGCGGUGUAAUCAGACACCGGCACCGGGGCGAGGAUGCCGGGGCGGGUAGGAGGGUGAGAGGGGAGCGGGCGGCAGGGUAGAAGAGGAGAGACGUAAACGUAAUUGGAAACAUCCGAGAGGGAGAUCUGCCACGCUUCUGAUGCGCGCCGCGGCGACUCGCCUGUUUCCAUUCUCCUCCCAUCGGACAUACUUCGCCGCAACGCGAGCGUCGUGUGUCUUCGUUUUUUCCUCGCGAGUCUAUUGACUCCCCGGCACACGGGGAUGACGCGAUGGUCCGGCGUGGAAUCCACCAUCGGAGAACGAAUGGUGGCUACGGGAUUGACGGGGGUGCCGUCUCGACUGUUUGAGGGUCCCUCGCGCGCGCCGAUGGACCGCGAUCGCGAAAACCUCAUUUCAUGUCCUCACAGACCGAAACGAUCGUUUUCGUAAUUAGCGCCACUCGCCCCUCCACUCCCCCACCUCGCAGGUAAAAAAAUACGUUUUCGCGCAAUCUCUCUUCCCAGGUAUUAAUAAUGCAUUCUUCGUUUCUCUCUCUCCCACUCUCUUUUUCCGUGUACGACGUUCAAAGACGUUAUAUUUACGCGACAGCGGCCUCAGGAACGCGCGGAGAAAGGUACUUUCUUUGUGACGACGUUUUGCCAAUACGUACGUGCGGCUUUGUAAGUAGCGAGAUGAGCGCGCGCGCGCGCGCCCACGUUCGCGUGCUCCACGCAUGAUUAAGCAGAGCCGACGAUAAUGCACUGCGUGCGGCUCUCUUCGGCGUAUAAAGAAGGUGUAAAUACCUCCCGAUGAUUCCUCCUAGGAUCGGAGCGGAUCGCGCAAAGGGAGCCGACACGGAGGCGGCUCCUUUCUCGUCGAUAAUUUCAAUGGAGAGUUUUUCUCAUAGAGCCAGUCGUUCCCCUUCUCUCCCCCAUCUCACUCUCUCUCACUCUCUCUCACACACACUCUCUCUCUCUCUCUCUCUCUCUCUCUCUCUCUCUCUCUCUUUCUCUCUUUCGUCCCCCUUCGCGCCGGUGUGUACGCGUGUAUACGGAGGACGGUAAAAAAGAGGAGAUCUCAAAAGGUACGCGGAGCACCGCCUCUGAUGAAUGCCGCAACCAGUUGGCCACCAUGUUUUCCCUCCGCCGGUUGUGUGUACGCCCUACUCUCCGAAACAUCCCCUGCACGUCCCUCCGGUGUGUCGACUUUCCAACCCCUCGCAAAACCGCGAUUGAACCCUUGUACAUCCAGUGCGUGUACUACGUAGGCAGGGAGGCGAUUUUACGUGCGCUUUGUGAGCGACGGGACGCGCGUAACUUUUACAGUUGUCGGGCGGAAGCCGCUGCAGAAACGCACACGGACUAAAUUGGAUCGUCCCGCUGAUGAUUUCAGAGGGAGCGCGGAAAAUUACCGUGCGCGUCGUCAGAGAGAAUAUCCGCACGGCAUAGAGGAUGAUCGGCCAUUUUACGGCAAAAGAAACCGGAAACUCAAAAUUCGCAUCGCCUGAGAGGACCAGGGGAGGUGGAGGGGGAGGGGCGAGAAUCGACGAUCCGCACGUAGAACGUCGACAUUCCUCGAGCAAUCGCCGAUAUCCACCAGAGAGCAUCGACAUUACGCGCCGUCUCCAACUUAAACACAAACGCGCCAAGUUUGCCCGCUGAGGAAGCCGCUCCUCGGUUUUAUUGCUUCGUAAUACGGCGCGGCGGAUCGGCACGUACACGCGGCGCCGAAGGGACCAUGGCGGGUGUCGAAGAUGGCACAGACGAAGGGAAGGAAGAAGAAGAAGAAGAAGAGGAAGAUCAUGAUGAAGAUGAAAAAAGAGAAAUAGCAGAGGCGGAGGAGCGAGGAAAGAGAAAGAGAAAAAAAGCCGGCCGAUAAACAAACUGCGCCGAGGAUCGCGGCUCUUUAAUCUUCCUUUGGAGGCAUCGGCCGCUCUUUGCGGCAUUCAAUGAAAAGGGAGCAGGGAAGAGUGGGAGAGUUGAAUCCUCCGUCUCUCUCUCUCUCUCUCUCUCUCUCUCUCUCUCUCUCUCUCUCCUCCCCUCUCUCUCCCCCCUCGGUGUGCUCGACCCCGCGACUCAUUAUGGCAACAUGCGGUAAGUAUGCUCGCGCUUAAGUCUCGGCGUACCCUCCGCUCGCCGAGGGCCGUCCCGAGCUGAAGCCGGCGUCUUCGUAUUAGUUACACGUGUACACGUACGCGCACGUACGUAAAAAGGACGCAAAAAAAAAAGAAACGGCGGUCGAGGGCCCGAAACACGGGCGGAGGCACCGCAUUACGACACUGUCGGAACCGGCGACGGGGUCGUGGAGGGACAGGCAGGGUGGAGGAGAGCAUCCCUUAUUUCGCGGCGGCUCGUUGCACGGCUCGGCGCAUCCGAAUAGUCUCUCACUCCCUUGAUCCGGGGUGUUCCAGGUGGUUCCUCGCCCCCUUUCCGCCCGCCUGGACCUACUCUCGAAAAUUAGGCACCGUGGAUCACCGAGCCGAUACGCGUUUUACAGCUGCGGCGCUCCGGAAAACGGCCGAAGAGCCGAGUGCACGGAAUCCCGCGCGUGUCUUCGUCUUUGUCCCCUCCUCCCCUCUCUCUCUCUCUCUCUCUCUCUCUCUCUCUCUUUCUUUCUCUCUCGGCUUUUAGCUGCGAUUCUAGUACGUAAAAUUCUCCCAGUGGAUUCGCAACGUGAUGACGCGACGGCGAUCACAUCGAUUCGAGUCGACUUCUCAUGAAGCGCAACUCGAAGGAGUUAGCAACAUCUACGUUAUGCAGUUGACUGCAGUUUAUAUAGAUACUCAUGGAACGGACAAAUAUUGAAAAAGGCAGACUCGUCAUUUUACGGAACAUUGAGCAGUUCACGAAACGAACUGCAUGCACUCCACACAAGUCGGGCUACCUACUCGCGCGUACUGCUGCUAGGCUACUCGCAAAACAGAAAUGUAAACACGACGGAGUCGUGUGUUUCCCCAAACUUGUUCGGCCAUUUUCGCAGUGGAAAUAUAUUGACAUUAUAGCGAGUAUAAUAUUCAACUUCUCUUAAGAAACCUUUCUAGAAUUGGAAGUCGCCCGUAACAACUCGAGACACAAGCAGUCUCCAUAAAUCCGUAUCGAGUCAUUCCCGCGAAACGCGAGUACCACUAUUCGAUUCAUAGUCGGCGAUGAACGCCAACAAAUGUGGUCUCUGAUGAUCAGCAAGCCACCUCGAUGGAUCAAUCGAGGAUGCACAAAUCAGACUGAAGAACAGUAUCAAAUGCACGAAUUAAAUCUAUCGAAUUCUUGCCAUUAUGCACCGAGAGAAAAGAUAUCCAAGAAAUAAUAAGUAUUUAUUCGCGCGCGCGCGCGCGGUGGAUACUAAUAAUAAACUGAUUUAUGAUAACGUAAAAUAUUUUUCAAAUAAGAUACUCUUCAAAGUAAUUUCAAAUAAGUAAAAAUAUUUUAAAAUUUUGUUGAUAUUUUCAAGUACAUAUUGUAAUAAAAAUAUUGUAGUAAGGAUAUUAUAGUGUGUGUGUGUGUGUAAAAGUUAUAAUGCAGCUUUAGUAGUCCACGAAUAGACUGACAUUAUUUUACGAAAAUUAUAAUAAAACAUAUUAAAAAUGACCAUAAAUGUAGUAAAAUUUAUCACGUUUAUGGUCAUUUUUACUAUGUUUUAUUAUAACUUUCGUAAUAAGUUUAUUCCCGAACUACUAAAAUUGCAUUGUAAUUUUUACUACAAUAUUCUCUCCGUGUAAGUAAACUUUUUCUCAAAACCUCACGGAAACCUUAGCUUUUCACGAAAGCAAUUGUUUAUUCUGCUUGAAUAAAAGAAUUUAGAUUUCUCUCUCAGUAAAUAUGUCAUUAGUGCCCAUCAAAUGAAUAUUUACUAUUUUUUUAGAUAUUUUUUCUCAGUGUACACCACAUCGAGUGAGCAAGUCGUGCAGGUAGGCGCCGAAAUCCUUCAAGAGCGCGCGGCCAGGUAAGGAAAGGAAGAUCGGCGGCAUCGUCGUGCCAAGGCCCAGCAAGAGAUAAUCCUCCCGGUCGUGAUGGCGGCCGCUGCCGAGGACUCACCCCACCCUUCGUGUGAAGUGCCAACCCCCGAAGAGGCAACGAUACUGUCGCGGUCUGAAAGGCCCGCUGCGAAUAACGCGCUUACGCGCGAUCAUCCGACCGCGAUCGUCGAUGCCCGUGACAGAUCGUCACGCUGCGAAUGCAUCGUCCUCUUCUUCGUCGCUGAAUAUCGCGGCAUUAAGCCCGCGCUAAAAAGCGAAGAGAGAAAAAGAGAGGGGGAGAGAGGGGCGCUAAGUCUUUCGCGGAUGGCCGGCCGCGCGCACCGACAAUACGGUGUAGAUUACUUUUCAGGACGGGCGGCGUGACGUAAACGCGCCCCGGCAAUUUUUCCCCGGCGAACAAUGCGCGAUGUUUGCCGACACAAUUUGCUCGGAUUUAGAUGUAGCCGCAUAAACGCAUGUCUGCACUUAGACGUCGUCGGCUGGACGACGCGAGGCGGCACCGAACUCCGCAGGGUGCCUACGUCUGUCUGCCUGUAUAUGCUCAAUCGCGCGCGCGCGCAAAACGAUUUUCGCACCAUUUAUUCGAUAAAAUUGCAGCGCUUCAAGUUGUCACAAUUAAAAGCGGCUGCUGGUACGUAUGCGUGCCCACAGAAAAAUAUGUACUGCAUUCAAAUAAAUGUUAUUUGUGUCAAAUUUUGUAAGUUUGUAUAAUAGUAAAUCUAACUCAUCGGUUCGUCAUACGCAUUAAAUUUGUGUAACAUUCCGAAUCCUAGUAAAUUCAGUAUUGCAAUAAAAAAUAUUAAAUUGAAACAAAAAUUCGGUUUAUUUACUAUUUACAUAAGACCGGCUUUCUUUUCGGUAAAGUUUUAUGAUAGUCUUAGGAAGAAAAUAAACUCUUUUUUUGAUUAUAUGAUAAUGAAUUUUUCUAAAAUUUGCGAUGAGUAUACUUAAGACUAUUAUCAAGAAAAUAUUUUUUGUUGAGAGGGCAAUUUAAUUAAAAAGAAGAUUUAAAAGAAGAAAAUUAACUGAAUAAUCGCUUUUCUCUUGUCACUAGAGUGUUAUUUUUCUGUGUGCGCACAGUAAUCGAUUAUAACAGAAGUCGAGUACUGGAUGUGACAAUAAAUUUAGGGGGAGAAAUUUAUAUUUUAAAGUAAGAGAACAUUAUUGAAGUAACACUAAAACUAAAAUAACUUUUAUAUACAUUAAAGUAAAAUAACUUUUAUAUACAUUCCAUAAAGUAUGUAUAAAGGACAGAGUAUCUGUUGAAUACUCGUUAGCAGUGGUCCUCAAUCGUAACAACUUGAAGCGCCACGACUUUAUUCGACAAAAAAUAUGUAAGUCGUUUUGCGACUGAGCAUACACUUAUCAAUCACACUUCGACAAGUGAUAAACUUCUUUUCACGCAAAGUGUCGUUCAGAUAGAUAACUGAAGAGGAUAUCGCUUGUUACCGAUUAAAACUGCUCAGUCAUGAUGUUGUUGUUCGUAUUUUAUUUAUGCUUGCCGAUGUCACGUCGCGAUUCUUUGCUUGUAUCUGAUCGUUGUGGCGUAUUAUUUUUCUAAUAACGGUUCCCUGCUAUUUUUAAUUUCGUGGUUUCUCAGUAUGCAGUUGUCGCCCGCGUGUUUUAGCUUUCUUCUACGGAGAUGCAGCCAGCGGCUGAGCCGGUUUGAUAGCUAAGGGGAAGAAGACUCGUCAUACUGUGAGUAAUAUUACCUCACGCGACAUGAUAUUAACGCGGACAUCUCGAGAACUUGGAAAAGGGUCGAGCGCCGCGAUCGAGAUUGAUUUGAUCUGCCGCCGACAGGGUGGCAAGCGAAACGAUGUGCCCUGGAUAUUGGGGCCUGAUGAAGGCUUCUCGGAUGUCAUGUCGGACUCGGACAUGGUGCAAGAGGGAGAAAGAUAAAAAGAGGGGAGCAAGAGAGGAGGAAGGAAAGGAGAUAGAGAAAGAGGCUGAUUGAAAUAGAAUGGGAGACUGAGCGAGAGGGCCGCAUUCCUAGACAGCUUACCAAGACAGCUAUCGCAUCGGCCAUCGCAUUUCGGUUUCUCAUAUCCAGAGGUGGCGGAUUUGUUUCUUCCUCUUAUCCGACUUUGGGGAGUGCGGGUCGCGGCCCGCCGAUACAAAGACACCCCGGGGACGCAACAACGGUGUCAUCUUCGAGUUCAAAGCUACCGAGUUGCAGAGAUCACGUUCCACCUGUGGGAUUGCAGCUUUCUUCGUCUCGAAAUUAUCUAUCGUCUUUAAACUACGACUUGAUCCAAGAAAUAUGAAUCAUCUUAUUAUCCGAAACUUAAUUUAUUCUCGUGUCAGGAACAAACCCACACGCCACGUGUUGUUUUCUAGUCCUUCGCGUACGGUCGUAUUUUUUGAGGUACAGUCUGGGUCAGUCUGUCAGACCCGGGCAGCUUCGAACUAUUAUAACUUUGUUGGAAGUCAAUAUUUUUAGGGAGAUUUCAAAAAUAUGGAAGAGUUUCAUCUACAAGAUAGUAGUGCAAUGAAAUCAAAAUUUGCAAAGAGAUUUGCGCUAUUUUGGAAUUUUCGCUGGCAUGGAAUCGAAUAUUCUUUCGGGUUUCACAGACCAAAUAUUGUACGCGUGAAAUAUGCAAUGACAAUAAAGAUUUCGUUAUUUUGGA